GCCCGCCUAGCUCAAUCGGAUAGAGCGUCAGACUCUUACCACUAGGCUACGGUGAUCUGAAGGCUGCGAGUUCGACCCUCGCGGUGGGCU
Non-coding RNA from Suillus discolor, 90 nucleotides. Lineage: Eukaryota; Fungi; Basidiomycota; Agaricomycetes; Boletales; Suillaceae. The record is from the annotation of a RefSeq genome assembly.